AAUAAUUCAGAGUUAGAAAGCACCAUGUAGAAAAGGUCCCUGGAAGAGAACACUUACAAGAUUUCUCUGGCUCCUAACUGCCUGCAACAUUAUUUUAUGGACACAAAUACACAUCCAUCUUUCGAAUGCAAAAGACAGUCAAAGACGGGACAGAGCAAAAGAAAAUAUAAGAUAAGACAGAACUGGGUGGUUUUUGUUUUUUAAUGAAGAGAUCCAGGGAAUACUUUUGUUUUAAUGCCUAGCAUCUAAUGGUACCAUCUAGGAUGGCAAUAGGAACUACAGGUAUUGCUCCCCACUUCAUAGAGGUCUUUCAAUUACUGCGCAAAAGGAAAGGUGCCAAAUACUCAGAACGUGGAACAGAAUGGAAGAUGACAGUCAAGUCAAAUCCUAUAUUAUCCUGAAGACUUGUAAGGGGAUAAAGGGAAGACUUGGCCAUAACCUGCCACAACUGAAAACUAAUGGGAAUUUUCUUGAUCUACUCUCAAGACAUCUUUCAACUCUCAUCAAGAUGCCUUUCCUUCGCACCUGGACAACUGCUUCCUAUAUUGAGGCCACUCUUUCCUUUCAAUACUAGUCAAAUUCUGGGUCCCAAUUAGCACCCAAGGAUUUUACACUGAGCCCUUGAGGGGCCUCGGUUAAAGAUUUUGAGCAUCUGUGAAUCUAUACCAGUGCUUGGGGUUGGAAAUCCAAGGAACCCUGACAAAAAGCUGUCACCGGGCCCCAGUAGUUUUUCAGUUCCUACUAACUUCAGUUUUUGUUUUUGUAUUAAAAGGAAUUGAAAGAUCCUUCCUCCAUGUAACAGAUUCUGGAGAGGGCCAGUUGUCACUCCAACUUGCCUUGGGUUUAGAAAAGAUCAAUGA
RNAcentral lists this long non-coding RNA (860 nucleotides) under Monodelphis domestica (gray short-tailed opossum). RNAcentral describes it as "lncRNA (ENSMODG00000030110.2)". The record is from RNAcentral. Lineage: Eukaryota; Metazoa; Chordata; Mammalia; Didelphimorphia; Didelphidae.